AUGAUCCGGAAUGGCCUGGCAGUGAGUCAUGAGCUUUAUCGACGCCGGAUCAAGCCAGGUGUUUUUUGUGCGGCCUGCGGAAGGGAGGAAACGGUUCUUCAUAGAUUUUGGGUUUGUCGACACUCCUCCCAGUUUUGGCAGAUAUUGUCUUCAGAGAAGGGUGUCGCGGUGGCAGCACCACCGCUUCCUGUAGACUCCCAAAAGGCACUCUCGAGCUGGCUGCUGAGUUUUUUUGUGGGUGCAACUGAAGAUGAGAAACAAGCUAUGGUUCAUGCGACGUGCGGGCUGUGGCUUGCCCGCAAUGAAGCUCGUGAUGGCAAGAGGAUUGCUCAUCCACAUGAGGUUGUCGAAGGAGUCCACUCACACCUGGUGGAGUGGCGUAAUAUUCAUGCUAUGGAGGCAAAAGCUCCGAAGUCUAGCCAUGUGCAGAAAUGGGAGGCGCCAGCGCCGGGCUGGGUGAAGGUGAAUUCGGACGGUGCCGUCUCUAAGCAAAGGAACUCAGGUGGUGGAGGAGCGGUGCUUCGAGACCAUGAUGGUGCGUUCAGGGCUGGGGUGUGUCACUUCUUCCCUCACAUGGCGGAUCAUGAAGUUUUUGAAAUUCUUGCUUGCCGACGGGGUGUACAGCUUGCUGUAGAGCUUGGAAUCCAGCGUGUUCAUCUUGAGCUCGAUAGCAAGACUGUUGUUCAGAUGUUGGUGCAGCCGGAAAGGUGUUUGAGUGCGGUGGGUCCGUGGAUUCAAGAGAUUAAAGCUUUGCUCAAUUCCCGCAUGGAGUUUCGCGUCGAUUGGGUUCGUCGUUCUGCCAACGUUGCUGCCCAUAAGUUUGCUAAAGUAGGUGUGGGUGAUGAGUUAUGUAAGGUGUGGUUGGGGUCUCCCCCUGACUUUGUUCUUUCUGUAGUCGCUGACGACAUUCCCAACUAUGCUGGUUAA
This 927-nucleotide ribosomal RNA is filed under the name Triticum aestivum (bread wheat). RNAcentral's name for it is "partial small subunit ribosomal RNA". Lineage: Eukaryota; Viridiplantae; Streptophyta; Magnoliopsida; Poales; Poaceae. The record is from RNAcentral.